This 969-nucleotide unclassified non-coding RNA is filed under the name Hevea brasiliensis (rubber tree). The record is from RNAcentral. Lineage: Eukaryota; Viridiplantae; Streptophyta; Magnoliopsida; Malpighiales; Euphorbiaceae.
AACUUGUUUAAAUAUUUUUUUAGAACAUGGAUACCCCCAGGAGUUGGAUGUAUGCUAGGAAGUUUCCAAAUGGAUUAUUGAACCCAGAAUUUCUUCAUGGGUUGGAAGCAUUUAUCAAUUUUGCUUGUAGCAAGCUGAAAUUUAUGGAUGGGAGUAAAAUAAAAUGUUCGUGCACGAAGUGCAUAAAUCGAAAGUACCUACCUGUGGAUGAUGUCAAAUUUCAUCUUGUUAGUAAGAGUUUUAGACCCAAUUAUCUAAAAUGGACUGCACAUGAUGAAUCAUUGAGUUCUUCAGCGUAUGCCACUGAGGUCAAUGUUCCAAGGCAAGAACGUUUCCAAGGUGACACUGACCCUUACCGUAGUAUGUUGUUUGAUGUUGCUGGUCCCCAUUUCAAAACAUUGCAGCGAAUCUUCCUUUACUAGAUAAUGAAGUUGAUAAUAUGGAAGAACCGCCAAAUCCAGAAUCACAAAAAUUUUAUGAUAUGCUAAAAGUAACUGAAGAGGAAUUGUGGCCUGGUUGUGAGAGGCAUUCACAAUUAUCUACCGUAGCUCGAAUAUUGCAUAUUAAGUCAGAAAAUCAUUUGUCUUAUAAAUGCUAUGACCAGAUUGUGAAUUUCGUGAGGGAAGUAUAACCAAAUGAAAAUAAGUUUGUUGAUAGUUUUUAUAAGACAAAGAAGCUUGUACGGGGAUUGGGUCUACCUGUGGAGAAAAUUGACUGUUGCAAACUUGGUUGCAUGAUAUAUUGGGGAGACGAUAAUAUUUUAACUGAAUGUAAAUUUUGUGGGCAGCCAAAAUACAAGCCUCAAAGGGGAUCAAGUAAGGCAAAAGUAGCAUGCAAGAGGAUGUAUUACUUUCCUUUGACACCAAGGCUUCAGAGACUCUGUGCUUCUAAAGCAACAGCUGCAAAAAUGCGGUGGCAUAUUGAGCAUGACAUGAAAGAUGAUGCCAUGUGUCAUCCGUCUGAUUCUGA